GCCGCGGUAGCUCAGCCUGGGAGAGCACCCGACUGAGAACCGGGUUGUCGGGUGUUCAAAUCACCCCCGCGGCACCA
This 77-nucleotide transfer RNA is filed under the name Candidatus Bathyarchaeota archaeon. RNAcentral's name for it is "tRNA-Leu". It matches the Rfam family "tRNA". Rfam says of the family: Transfer RNA (tRNA) molecules are approximately 80 nucleotides in length. The record is from RNAcentral. Lineage: Archaea; Thermoproteati; Candidatus Bathyarchaeota.